Molecule: ribosomal RNA, 230 nt
Filed under: uncultured bacterium
Lineage: Bacteria
Description: partial 16S ribosomal RNA
Rfam family: Bacterial small subunit ribosomal RNA
Source: RNAcentral
AACGGGUGAGUAAUACAUCGGAACGUGCCAGUUGUGGGGGAGUAGCCCGGCGAAAGCCGGAUUAAUACCGCAUACGACCUACGGGUGAAAGCGGGGGAUCGCAAGACCUCGCGCAAUUGGAGCGGCCGAUGUCAGAUUAGCUAGUUGGUGGGGUAAAAGCCUACCAAGGCGACGAUCUGUAGCUGGUCUGAGAGGACGACCAGCCACACUGGGACUGAGACACGGCCCAG